This 706-nucleotide ribosomal RNA is filed under the name Fungiacyathus turbinolioides. Its description in RNAcentral is "eukaryotic LSU rRNA". It matches the Rfam family "Eukaryotic large subunit ribosomal RNA", at positions 65 to 639 of the family's 3401-position model. The record is from RNAcentral. Lineage: Eukaryota; Metazoa; Cnidaria; Anthozoa; Scleractinia; Fungiacyathidae.
CUAACAAGGAUUCCCCUAGUAACGGCGAGCGAAGCGGGAAUAGCUCAAAUUGAAAUCUCCGACGCUUGCGUCGGCGAGUUGUAGUUGCGAGAAGCACUUUCUCGGCGGAUCGGCCGCGUCCAAGUUGCUUGGAACAGUACGUCGCAGAGGGUGACAACCCCGUCCGUGGCGUGGCCGGCCGCUCACGAUGUGCUUUCGAAGAGUCGGGUUGUUUGGGAAUGCAGCCCAAAACGGGUGGUAAACUCCAUCUAAAGCUAAAUAUUGGCGUGAGACCGAUAGCGAACAAGUACCGUGAGGGAAAGAUGAAAAGAACUUUGAAAAGAGAGUUAAAAAGUACGUGAAACCGUUGGAAGGGAAACGAAUGGACUCAGCAAUGCGCCGUCUUUUGAGAUUCAGCCGCGCGGGCCGGCUCGGCCCUGGACUUUUGCGGAUCCGAACGGACCGCGGUUCGGGGCUCGUUUCGGCCCGCCGUCGCACUUCUCUUGGGCGCAAGUCAACGUCGGUUGGGUCUGGGUCUGAAAGGUUCCGGGAAGGUGAGUCGGGCAGCCCGGUUCUCUAUCUCGCGGCUCGGACCCGACCGAGGAAGCAGUAGCAGUCGCAGCGCAUGCCUCUUUUGGCUAGGGUCCCGUCUCCUCCGGCCGGUCGUCGACCGCGGUGGACUGCUUGCAGUGCUCCGCGACUGCUGCCGGUCGUUGGGGCGGUGAUC